GCCAUUAUUGCCCUCAUCACUUUUGAUACUUGCUUUUCUUACAUGCAUCCUCAGUUUGGUCGUUCUUAUUUAUCUCUAGAGACACCUUGAUACAUCUUUUUCUUUUUCUUAACAAUUGGACCUUUCGUCAUGUUUCUUUCUCUUCGAUGGGCGUUCUGUUCCAUACAUCAGUUCCAACAGAAGUCAUUCAGGUCAAAUUGUUUACAACUUGAUGCACCUUUAUUGUCUUCAUGGAUUUUUAGUUCUAGUUUUGUUGUAAGAUAUGGCAGUCCGAAUCCAUCUGAUUGCUUUCUGUUCUCCUGUUGCGCUGAUGGUCUCUUGCUGCUAAGAUGUCCAAGAAAUUUGUCGGUAAAGCAGCCUAAAAUUGUAAUGUGAGCAGAAAAGCUUCCUGCCUGCUUGCUCCUUUACGUGGAACGAUGGACACACUUUAGAGAAGAUGUUCCAAGGCAGCUCUCCCCGAGCAGGACGGACAUCUUUUCCUUGGGGUCUUUGCGUAAGUUCUAAGCAACUCCACUGCAACUCUUCUCUUGCUGAGCUGAAGAAG
RNAcentral lists this long non-coding RNA (544 nucleotides) under Musa acuminata (dwarf banana). Its description in RNAcentral is "long non-coding RNA (MACU_LNC006820)". The record is from RNAcentral. Lineage: Eukaryota; Viridiplantae; Streptophyta; Magnoliopsida; Zingiberales; Musaceae.